UGAGACAGUUAUACAGGGUAAGAUAAAUAAAUAAAUGAAUAAGAAGAUGGUGUAUGUUGUAAGGGGCCCUAAAACGCUUAAGAUAGUAAAUACUAGAUUUAAAAAAAAUAAUAUUAUGAAAUAAAUAUUAAGAAAGGAACCUAUUCGGACAUUUAGGAAGUAAGACGGU
Octopus sinensis (East Asian common octopus) is the source of this 169-nucleotide long non-coding RNA. RefSeq lists it as uncharacterized. Lineage: Eukaryota; Metazoa; Mollusca; Cephalopoda; Octopoda; Octopodidae. The record is from RefSeq and is a predicted model, not a curated record. The transcript has 3 exons.